This 1793-nucleotide ribosomal RNA is filed under the name Candidatus Micrarchaeota archaeon CG1_02_51_15. RNAcentral's name for it is "16S ribosomal RNA". It matches the Rfam family "Archaeal small subunit ribosomal RNA". The record is from RNAcentral. Lineage: Archaea; Nanobdellati; Microcaldota.
ACACCAGUUGAUCCUGCUGGAGGAUACUGCUAUCGGAUUACGACUAAGACAUGCAAGUUCAAAGACCAAAGCUUUUGGUCUUGGCGAACGGCUGAGUAACACGUAGUCAACCUACCCUAGGGAUUCGCAUAACUUCGGGAAACUGAAGCGAAUUCGUUAUAGGCAAGGAAUUCUGGAACGAAUCCUUGCUUAAAAGAGCACUUGAAAUGCAGAGUGUUUCGCCCUAGGAUGGGACUGCGUCUGAUUAGGCUGUUGGCGAGGUAACGGCUCACCAAACCAAUAAUCAGUAGGGGCUAUGAGAGUAGGAGCCCCCAGAAGGGCACUGAGACAAGGGCCCUAGCCCUAUGGGGUGCAGCAGUUACGAAAAUUCCGCAAUGCGCGCAAGCGUGACGGGGGUAGUCCGAGUGCCAUCCGAAAGGAUGGCUUUUGGCCAGUCUGAAUAACUGGCAGAAUAAGUGGUGGGUAAAACCUGUGCCAGCCGCCGCGGUAAUACAGGUAGCACGAGUGGUGUCCACGAAUAUUGAGUCUAAAGCGUCCGUAGCCGGUUUGGUAAAUUUUCUGUGAAAUCUCUCGGCUUAACCGAGAGGCUUGCAGGGAACACUGCUAGACUCGGGAGUGGGGGAGGCCUGAGGUACGCCAGGGGGAACGGUAAAAUGUUUUAAUCCUUGGCGGACCACCAGUGGCGAAAGCGUCAGGCCAAAACACGUUCGACGGUGAGGGACGAAGGCUAGGGGAGCAAACCGGAUUAGAUAUGCCUUUCGGAAAAAACGAGUUAAAAAUAAGCGCGCUGCUUCCAAAACAACGCGUCAAUUACGCCGAGCCCACAACGUUCGGCAAUUAUUUUUGGGUGAUAUUUGGAAAAUUAAUUCCGUUCCGUGUCAUCUAUAAUUAAAAUGAAUUUUUCAACCGCGUAUGGUUGAAAACUGUUCAAAAGCGGUUUUUUCGGGGAGGCACUAAACACCCGGGUAGUCCUAGCAGUAAAUGAUGCAAACUUGGCGUUGCACUUGCCUCGAGCGAGUGCAGUGCCGCAGCGAAGGCGUUUAGUUUGCCACUUGGGGAGUACGGUCGCAAGACUGAAACUUAAAGGAAUUGGCGGGGGAGCACCACCAGCCGUGGAUGCUGCGGUUCAAUUGGACUCAACGCCGGGAAACUCACCAGGAAAGACGGCAGGAUGAAGCUCAGAUUGAAGAUCUUAGCUAACAAGCCGAGAAGUGUUGCAUGGCCAGCGUCAGCUCGUGCCGUGAAAGAAUCAUCUUCGCGUAUGACGGAAAGCGUCCAACCAGCGGCUCAAUGCCGCGGGCGUUGCUUUCUGACCGAAAAAGGUUCUUCGGCAGAGGUGUCAGGUUAAGUCCUGCAACGAGCGAGAUCCCCGUCCACUGUUGCCAGCGCCGAAGCGAUUCGGCGGGCACUCUGUGGAGACUGCCUGCGUUAAGCGGGAGGAAGGAGGGGGCAACGCUAGGUCAGUAUGGCCUGAAUUUCCUGGGCCACACGUGGCAUACAAUGGUCAAGACAAUGAGCUCCGACGCCGAAAGGCGAAGGCAAUCCCAAAAACUUGACCUCGGUUCGGAUUGGGGGCUGAAACUCGUCCCCAUGAAGCUGGAAUGGCUAGUAAUCGCGUGUCAUCAUCGCGCGGUGAAUAGGUCCCCGCUCCUUGCACACACCGCCCGUCAAGCCAUCCAAGUAAGGCUUUGGUGAGGCUCGAGCUUCUGCUUGAGUCGAGCCAGAGCUUUGUGAGGAGGGUUAAGUCGUAACAAGGUAACCGUAGGGGAACCUGCGGUUAGAUCACCUCCAAU